UGGGGAAUAUUGCACAAUGGGCGAAAGCCUGAUGCAGCAACGCCGCGUGAGUGAUGAAGGUCUUCGGAUUGUAAAGCUCUGUCUUUUGGGACGAUAAUGACGGUACCAAAGGAGGAAGCCACGGCUAACUACGUGCCAGCAGCCGCGGUAAUACGUAGGUGGCGAGCGUUGUCCGGAUUUACUGGGCGUAAAGGGUGCGUAGGCGGAUGUUUAAGUGAGAUGUGAAAUACCCGGGCUUAACUUGGGUGCUGCAUUUCAAACUGGAUAUCUAGAGUGCAGGAGAGGAGAAUGGAAUUCCUAGUGUAGCGGUGAAAUGCGUAGAGAUUAGGAAGAACACCAGUGGCGAAGGCGAUUCUCUGGACUGUAACUGACGCUGAGGCACGAAAGCGCGGGUAGCAAACAGGAUUAGAUACCCUGGCAGUCCACGCCGUAAGCGAUGAGUACUAGGUGUAGGAGGUAUCGACCCCUUCUGUGCCGCAGUAAACACAUUAAGUACUCCGCCUGGGAAGUACGAUCGCAAGAUUAAAACUCUAAAGUGAAUUGAC
RNAcentral lists this ribosomal RNA (545 nucleotides) under uncultured bacterium. RNAcentral describes it as "partial 16S ribosomal RNA". It matches the Rfam family "Bacterial small subunit ribosomal RNA", at positions 355 to 914 of the family's 1533-position model. The record is from RNAcentral.